GCCAGGUGUGGUGGUGUGCACCUGUAGUCCCAGCUACUUGGGAGGCUGAGGCGGAAGAAUUGCUUGAACCCAGGAGGCUGAGGUUGCAGUGAGCCAAGAUCGUCCCACUGCACUCCAGCCUGGGUGACAUAGCAAGACUCUGUCUCAA
Pongo abelii (Sumatran orangutan) is the source of this 148-nucleotide unclassified non-coding RNA. It matches the Rfam family "Metazoan signal recognition particle RNA". Rfam says of the family: The signal recognition particle (SRP) is a universally conserved ribonucleoprotein. It is involved in the co-translational targeting of proteins to membranes. NCBI's taxonomy places the organism in Eukaryota, Metazoa, Chordata, Mammalia, Primates, Hominidae. The record is from Ensembl.